AUGGCACCAACUCACAAUGGGAGUCCUGCCAUCAACAUCUUACGCAGGAGCUUCAACUACACUCAGCAACGUGCCAACUACGUCUGCUACGGGUACCUCAGACCACCCAUGAGGGUCGCUCCACGAGCAGGCCAACCAGCCAAGCACGAACAAUGUAGACAUAAGUCACUGUUACGGCUUUGUCAUCGUUGCAAUAACGACAACCAACAGGCCUAUGUGCACCGGCACGAGCAAUGUACAAAUAGAAGAAACGUCACCAAUACAGAAGUGAAUGAGGAAAAUGAUGAUGAAAUGCAGGAAGAGGAAGAAGAGGGACAAUCAGAAUUCAUGCAAACUCAACCACCGUACAUUGGUCAGAGAUUUAGUACAUUUGAUGAUGCCAAGAAAUAUUACUACCUCCAUUUUUGUAUACAAGGCCACAAACACACAUUACAUGUACCAAGGCAAAAGUAA
RNAcentral lists this ribosomal RNA (453 nucleotides) under Triticum aestivum (bread wheat). Its description in RNAcentral is "partial small subunit ribosomal RNA". Lineage: Eukaryota; Viridiplantae; Streptophyta; Magnoliopsida; Poales; Poaceae. The record is from RNAcentral.